Molecule: ribosomal RNA, 825 nt
Filed under: uncultured bacterium
Lineage: Bacteria
Description: bacterial SSU rRNA
Rfam family: Bacterial small subunit ribosomal RNA
Source: RNAcentral
AAUGUGCAGUGAAGCGGUGAAAUGCAUAGAGAUUGCACAGAACACCGAUUGCGAAGGCAGCUUACUAAUCCACGACUGACGCUGAGGCACGAAAGCGUGGGGAGCGAACAGGAUUAGAUACCUGGGUAGUCCACGCCGUAAACGAUGUUCACUCGCUGUUGCGAUAUACAGUAAGCGGCUUAGCGAAAGCAUUAAGUGAACCACCUGGGGAGUACGAUCGCAAGGUUGAAACUCAAAGGAAUUGACGGGGGCCCGCACAAGCGGAGGAACAUGUGGUUUAAUUCGAUGAUACGCGAGGAACCUUACCUGGGCUUAAAUGCAGAGUGCAUGCGGUGGAAACACCCUUCCCUUCGGGGCUCUCUGCAAGGUGCUGCAUGGUUGUCGUCAGCUCGUGCCGUGAGGUGUCGGGUUAAGUCCCAUAACGAGCGCAACCCUUACCGUUAGUUGCCAACAGGUCAAGCUGGGGACUCUAGCGGGACUGCCACCGUAAGGUGAGAGGAAGGUGGGGAUGACGUCAAAUCAGCACGGCCCUUAUGUCCAGGGCUACACACGUGUUACAAUGGCCGGUACAGAGGGCAGCUACCCCGCGAGGGGAUGCCAAUCCUAAAAGCCGGUCCCAGUUCGGAUUGGAGUCUGCAACCCGACUCCAUGAAGUUGGAUUCGCUAGUAAUCGCGCAUCAGCCAUGGCGCGGUGAAUACGUUCCCGGGCCUUGUACACACCGCCCGUCAAACCAUGGGAGCUGGGGGUGCCUGAAGUCUGUGACCGAGAGGAGCGGCCUAGGGUAAAACCAGUGACUGGGGUUAAGUCGUAACAAGGUAGCCGUA